AGAUAAAGAUUUAACCUGUCAGACACUUUUAUAAAUAAACAAUAGAAUUUAAUUUAAAAUAUCAUAAACAUUUAAUAUGAAUUUAGAGCUUUUGGAAUCAUUUGGACAAAAUUAUCCAGAGGAAUUUGAUGGAACGCUUGAUUGUAUUUCGCUGGCAGUAACGUGUACAUUCAACAAAAGAGGUACAUUGUUAGCCGUAGGCUGUAAUGAUGGUAGAAUAGUAAUAUGGGAUUUUUUAACUCGCGGAAUUGCCAAAAUAAUAAGCGCUCAUGUACAUCCUGUUUGUUCACUCAGUUGGUCAAGAAACGGACACAAAUUGCUGAGUGCAUCGACAGACAACAAUGUUUGUAUAUGGGAUGUAUUAUCAGGAGAAUGCGAUCAAAAAUACCGUUUUCCAUCACCGAUAUUAAAAGUACAAUUUCACCCGAGAAAUUCAAAUAAAUUUUUGGUCUGUCCGAUGCGACAUGCUGCUGUAAUGGUGGAUGUUGAAGGUACACAUCGUGUUAUUCCCCUAGAUGAAGAUAGUGAUUUAAAUAUCGUCGCGUCUUUUGAUAGACGAGGAAGUUUUGUGUACACAGGAAACGCCCGUGGCAGAAUUCUCGUUCUUGAUUCCGAGACAUUAACUAUAAAAGCUUCUUAUAAAAUAUCUCAGGGUACUGCUAGCAACACCGCGGUUAAGAGUAUUGAAUUUGCGCGCCGUGGGUCAUGCUUUCUUGUCAAUACUUCCGACCGAGUGAUACGUGUAUACGACAGCACGGAGAUACUUGCUUGUGGGAAGGACGGGGAGCCGGAGCCGAUACAAAAAUUGCAGGAUUUGGUUAACAAAACAAUGUGGAAAAAAUGCUGCUUUUCAGGCGACGGCGAGUACGUUUGCGCUGGCUCUGCUAGACAACAUGCACUUUAUAUUUGGGAAAAAAGUAUCGGUAAUUUAGUUAAAAUAUUGCACGGAACUAAAGGAGAGCUUUUGCUGGAUGUUGUGUGGCAUCCAGUGAGACCUAUAAUAGCAUCAAUAUCCUCCGGAGUGGUGUCUAUUUGGGCACAGAAUCAAGUUGAAAAUUGGUCCGCGUUCGCCCCAGAUUUCAAGGAAUUGGACGAGAACGUCGAGUACGAGGAGAGAGAAAGCGAAUUUGACUUGAGUGAUGAAGAUAAAUCUGUCGUACAGGGCGAAGAGGCUCAGGAUGAAGAAAUCGAAGUUGACGUCGCAGCUAUUGACAGAGUCGCGGCUUUUUGCAGCUCCGAUGAAGAAACUGAAGAUAUUGGUACAUUGCAAUAUUUGCCGAUAGCCCCCGAGGUUGAAGAACCAGAAGAUCAAGCUGCUGCACAAGAACCACCCAACAAAAAAUAUCGAUCCCAUGAUAUUCAUUUGCAGAAUCCACCUGAGAACGAAACACAUCCAUUAUUAAAUAAAGGAAAAGAUAAACCUGCUGCUAAAAAAGGACGUCCACGACUUGAACAUCGUAAAGGAAAAUAAUUUUUUUUUUUUUUUUUUUUUUUUUCUUUUAAUCAGUAUCAAUUAACAUUGUUCCAUCUAUGUGACUUGAUUUACUGAUAAGUUUUAUAAAAACUAGAGACCGAAGCAGGUGCUGCCGCGCGACAGAAUGUGGCGAGUUUAUGUACCUAAGGGAUAAUGAUUUUGUUUUUAAAAUCUCAAGUCGUUCAAAGGUUAUGUUAUGCUGUGUAAUUUAUAUAUAUAUCCAUGUCAAAUAAGCAAAGACAGAUAAUAUAUAACUGAAUCCAAUAUCUUAUCGACUUGAAGAUUCAGUUGAAAUUUUAUAAAUAACAGAUAGAGUUUCAGUAAAAA
Cotesia glomerata is the source of this 1801-nucleotide RNA transcript. It is a transcript of the gene named retinoblastoma-binding protein 5 homolog, with no coding region annotated. The transcript is spliced from 8 exons. The record is from RefSeq and is a predicted model, not a curated record. NCBI's taxonomy places the organism in Eukaryota, Metazoa, Arthropoda, Insecta, Hymenoptera, Braconidae.